Molecule: ribosomal RNA, 459 nt
Filed under: Triticum aestivum (bread wheat)
Lineage: Eukaryota; Viridiplantae; Streptophyta; Magnoliopsida; Poales; Poaceae
Description: partial small subunit ribosomal RNA
Source: RNAcentral
AUGAUUUCAGCUCCUUUGGCCAUGCAUGCUAGUGGACUGCCUCUCCUUCUCCUAGAUGAACAAGGAAGAUCAGGCAAGAAGCCAGAUUUCAUCCUGGUCAGCAUGCAAACUGGUCUCAGGCACCUUAAAUUGUUCACUGCGCUGCGUGUAUGGCUACUCAUAAUGGCUCAACAGUGGGGAGAAAAGCAGAAUGAUGCCAUACACAGAGAGACUGCAGUUGUGUUUGUUGGGUUAUGUUUGUUUAUGUCAGCAAAACGCAAGCUGACGCGCCGGGCUUUGACACCAAUAUAUAUACAUGUGUAUAUACAGAUACAGAUACAGGUUUGCAGGAGGCGACCAGGUAGCCUGCCCGAACAGUGCCAGGUAAAGGAUGGGAGUUGCAGGGCGCUGCAGGGAUUGUACCCUGCCUGCACAGCCGACGCCGUUCAGUCAUCGUCACCGAUCCGAAAAAUACGGUGA